CACCCAUUUGAAAUGGUAAAGACUUAGAACUUACCUUUUCCUCUUCUUUUUCUUUCAUUAAAGGUAAGAGCAGCAUAUUUGUUUGGUGUGGAUGCUUGUUAUCCAAACCCAAAGGCUUCUGAAUGCCACAUUAAUGUGAAGGUACCUGACACCUCUGUAGGGUAGAAUUGGAAGUUUUCUUUGCAGAUGGAAAGUUAUGAUAUAGUGGUUCUUGAUUCAAGAUUGUCUAUAGAGGACUUCAGAACACAGAGCAAUCAG
Long non-coding RNA from Magnolia sinica, 258 nucleotides. RefSeq lists it as uncharacterized. Lineage: Eukaryota; Viridiplantae; Streptophyta; Magnoliopsida; Magnoliales; Magnoliaceae. The record is from RefSeq and is a predicted model, not a curated record. The transcript is spliced from 2 exons.